GACGCAGCGGGGGCUCCUCGGCUCGAGCCCGUGCGGACCAGAGUGCGGCGCGGGGCAGCGGCGGCGGCGGACCGAGGAGACCUGCGAGCGGGGCGGCGCGGCGGAGCAGACAUAAAGGCCACACUUCUGAGCACCCAAGGGCCUGGCCCAACCACAGCUUGGGACCCGCCCUCUCCCCAGAACUGCAUGGAUGAGCCACGGAACUGCAGCCAUGUGCUGACCCAAAUGGACCUCUAGGGGAGCAAGGGACUCGUACCCCCCCUGGGAAUAAGAAACUGACCAGAGGAAAAUGGCAGCAGGAAACCAUUCUGCAGUGACGGAGUUCAUCUUGGCUGGGCUCUCAGAUCAGCCAAAGCUUCAGCUGCCACUUUUCCUCCUCCUCUUAGGAAUCUGUGUGGUCACAGAGCUAUCCUGCUCCUGCACUUAACAUCAAUGAAUUAUUGGUUCUGGUCUUUAGCACGUUUAACAUUCUGACUCCAGUACUAAGCGUCCUUGAUUUCCACAUCUUCAUCACUGUCAGCAUCCUCUGCGUUCGCUCCACUGACAGCAGGCCCAAAAGCAUUCAGCACUUGAAGCUCCCACAUCUCAGCAGUUGCUGCGUUCUUUGGAUCUGCAGCAUUCAUGUACCUGCAGCCAUCAUCUAUUAGCUCUGUGGACCAAGGGAAAGUGUCCGCUGUGUUUUAUACUACUCUGUGCCCAUGGUGAACCCCCUGAUCUACAGCCUGAGGAAUAAGGAUGUCAAAUUUGCCCUGAAGAAACUUCUGGAUAGGAGCACAUGUUCAUGAAUAGAAUCAAUGUGAUGUUGUCAUUGCAAAAACAGGCCUUUAAUUUGCCUAGAUAUGUAAUUUGUGAGAAUCAGUGUUCAGGUUUGGAAAUUCAGUGAUGCUUUUCUAUGUAACAUAUCUCAAAAAUUUCCACUCCAGUCCACUCCCU
Long non-coding RNA from Cynocephalus volans (Philippine flying lemur), 933 nucleotides. RefSeq lists it as uncharacterized. The transcript is spliced from 4 exons. NCBI's taxonomy places the organism in Eukaryota, Metazoa, Chordata, Mammalia, Dermoptera, Cynocephalidae. The record is from RefSeq and is a predicted model, not a curated record.